This 478-nucleotide ribosomal RNA is filed under the name uncultured bacterium. RNAcentral's name for it is "partial 16S ribosomal RNA". It matches the Rfam family "Bacterial small subunit ribosomal RNA", at positions 28 to 523 of the family's 1533-position model. The record is from RNAcentral.
GAUGAACGCUGGCGGCGUGCUUAACACAUGCAAGUCGGACGGUAAGGCCCUUCGGGGUACACGAGUGGCGAACGGGUGAGUAACACGUGGGUGAUCUGCCCUGCACUUCGGGAUAAGCCUGGGAAACUGGGUCUAAUACCGGAUAGGACUCCUGCCUGCAUGGGUGGGGGUGGAAAGCUUUUGCGGUGUGGGAUGGGCCCGCGGCCUAUCAGCUUGUUGGUGGGGUGAUGGCCUACCAAGGCGACGACGGGUAGCCGGCCUGAGAGGGUGACCGGCCACACUGGGACUGAGAUACGGCCCAGACUCCUACGGGAGGCAGCAGUGGGGAAUAUUGCACAAUGGGUGCAAGCCUGAUGCAGCGACGCCGCGUGAGGGAUGACGGCCUUCGGGUUGUAAACCUCUUUCAGCACAGACGAAGCGCAAGUGACGGUAUGUGCAGAAGAAGGACCGGCCAACUACGUGCCAGCAGCCGCGGUAA